Molecule: transfer RNA, 77 nt
Filed under: Diaphorina citri (Asian citrus psyllid)
Lineage: Eukaryota; Metazoa; Arthropoda; Insecta; Hemiptera; Psyllidae
Rfam family: tRNA
About the family: Transfer RNA (tRNA) molecules are approximately 80 nucleotides in length.
Source: Rfam by way of RNAcentral
GCCUAGUUAGCUUAAUUGGUAGAGAGAGCGUCUGCCUUGUAAGCGCUAGCCCGCGGGUUCGAUUCCCGCCCGGGGCG